Molecule: long non-coding RNA, 1162 nt
Organism: Esox lucius (northern pike)
Lineage: Eukaryota; Metazoa; Chordata; Actinopteri; Esociformes; Esocidae
Exons: 3
Source: RefSeq, a predicted model, not a curated record
GACAUUAUCAUGUUACUUUGACGACGUUGAAACAUGUUGCACAGUAGUAUUGGGAACUUUUUAUUUUAAGUUUUUUACUUUCUUCGCGGCACAGACCGGCUGUCUGAUUUCUACGUUUUGCAGGCUCUUUCCCUACAGAGUGGAUGAGAGGGCCUCCAUUCCCUCUUUGUUUGGGGACAGCGCAUCUGACGAGCAGAAGCAGCCCAUAAAGCAACGGAGGAUGCUGGGACCAGGAGAACAACAGAGGUUGGCUACAGAGAUGUUAUACCAUCCUGAUUCAUGCUAAGGAGAGGUUCUCCUUCACCCAGCACCUCAUCAGCGUAACACUGUUGCACGGAGAGUUGUUCCCACAACACAGUGUGAAGUUCCCCCGAUACAGCGCUUGAAACAACCGUGGAGGCGUACCCCAUGUUGAACAAGGCCAAGCUCAAAACCCAACAGUCCCUCAUCUAUGAGAACAGUGAGUUCAAGGCUUGUAGUGGUGCAGUGCCCCUGUACCAGUUCUUCAUGGAGAACAACCUUCAGAGCACUUUCACAGACACUGUCAGCUUCCUCAAGAUCCUCAUCACCACACCCAUGACAACAGCUGAGUCAGAAAGGUGCUUCUCUACACUGAAGAGGAUCUUCCUGAGAAACAGCAUGACACAGGAUUGCCUGAAUGCUCUGGCUAUGCUCUCCAUGGAGAAGAAACUUGUCAGGGACAUUCUUGACUAAUAAAAGGGUCAUUGAGAGGUUUGCCACUCAGAAGGACAGACAGGUGAAAUUCCUAUACAAAUAAGAUGAUACAUACAGGAGCACUGACCAUAUGUUUCUUUGUAUAUAGUUGACCGUAGCAUAAAAAAGCAUCCAGUUAUAUAUGGUACUCAAGAAAGUCUUGAGUGUGUUUGCUAAUAUUACUGUAUAUAUGUUUUGUAUCAAUUAAUUGUUGCAGUUCUGUAGCACAUUAACAAUUAGUUUGAGUAAAAUACUGUAUGCUAUUCUUCUAGUCAAAGGUUUGAGUUCACUCACUUGAUAUCCAUUUCUAUAUUAUACAUCCUUUAUACAUUGUAAGAUUUCCUAUAAACCUCCUAAUAAUUUCAUUUUAUUGUCCACUUUCCACUGUCCUGACAGCAUGCCUGUUGGGUUGCCUAUUUACUACCAAUGUAUUUCAUAUGCUGGACCC